AACGAACGCUGGCGGCGUGCCUAACACAUGCAAGUCGAACGAGAUCUUCGGGUCUAGUGGCGCACGGGUGCGUAACGCGUGGGAAUCUGCCCUUUGGUUCGGAAUAACAGUUGGAAACGACUGCUAAUACCGGAUGAUGACGAAAGUCCAAAGAUUUAUCGCCAGAGGAUGAGCCCGUGUAGGAUUAGCUAGUUGGUGUGGUAAAGGCGCACCAAGGCGACGAUCCUUAGCUGGUCUGAGAGGAUGAUCAGCCACACUGGGACUGAGACACGGCCCAGACUCCUACGGGAGGCAGCAGUGGGGAAUAUUGGACAAUGGGCGAAAGCCUGAUCCAGCAAUGCCGCGUGAGUGAUGAAGGCCUUAGGGUUGUAAAGCUCUUUUACCCGGGAUGAUAAUGACAGUACCGGGAGAAUAAGCUCCGGCUAACUCCGUGCCAGCAGCCGCCGUAA
This 449-nucleotide ribosomal RNA is filed under the name uncultured bacterium. Its description in RNAcentral is "partial 16S ribosomal RNA". It matches the Rfam family "Bacterial small subunit ribosomal RNA", at positions 29 to 523 of the family's 1533-position model. The record is from RNAcentral.